UACGUAGGUGGCAAGCGUUGUCCGGAAUUAUUGGGCGUAAAGCGCGCGCAGGCGGUCCUUUAAGUCUGAUGUGAAAGCCCACGGCUCAACCGUGGAGGGUCAUUGGAAACUGGGGGACUUGAGUACAGAAGAGAAGAGUGGAAUUCCACGUGUAGCGGUGAAAUGCGUAGAUAUCAAGUGGAACACCAGUGGCGAAGGCGAGUCCCUGGACGAUUUCUGACACUGAGGCACGAAAGCUAGGGGAGCAAACAGG
This 253-nucleotide ribosomal RNA is filed under the name uncultured bacterium. RNAcentral's name for it is "partial 16S ribosomal RNA". It matches the Rfam family "Bacterial small subunit ribosomal RNA", at positions 524 to 776 of the family's 1533-position model. The record is from RNAcentral.